GGAAGGUGAGGGUCUGGUUGUUGGUCAGGAUGCUGUCCGUGUCCACAAACAGGAUGUAAUCCGCCCGCAGCCCCCGGGCGUAGCUCAGAGCCUCCUGCUUCAGCCUCAUCAGGUUUUCAUAGCGUUUGUCGCUCCAGUGCUUGGGGCCGAGCUCGUCGGGGUAAGAACUGGGCCCCUCUUCUGCCUUCCAUGCCACCGAGUGGUAAUUGCUGCCCACUGCCUGCAGCCACUCCUGCAGCAUCGCCGUCGUGUUGUCCGAGUUGUGGUCUGUCGCACACCACAGCGCGAUGUUCCCCGCGGGGAAGUCCAGGCUCUCCAGAGCCCCUAGGCAGUGCGGCAGCGAGUGCUGCGCGUUGCGGGCCAGGAGGGCCAGCACCACCCGGGGGGGUUCGGGGCUGCCCCCGGUGCCGGUGCCGGUCCCGGUGCCCAGCAGCAGCAGCAGCAGCAGCACGAGCGCAGCGCAGCGCAGCGGCCCCAUGGCGGAGGGCAGCGGCGGCG
This 498-nucleotide long non-coding RNA is filed under the name Gallus gallus (chicken). The record is from RNAcentral. Lineage: Eukaryota; Metazoa; Chordata; Aves; Galliformes; Phasianidae.